UAUCUGCAGUCGAGCGAAUGGAUUAAGAGCUUGCUCUUAUGAAGUUAGCGGCGGACGGGUGAGUAACACGUGGGUAACCUGCCCAUAAGACUGGGAUAACUCCGGGAAACCGGGGCUAAUACCGGAUAACAUUUUGAACCGCAUGGUUCGAAAUUGAAAGGCGGCUUCGGCUGUCACUUAUGGAUGGACCCGCGUCGCAUUAGCUAGUUGGUGAGGUAACGGCUCACCAAGGCAACGAUGCGUAGCCGACCUGAGAGGGUGAUCGGCCACACUGGGACUGAGACACGGCCCAGACUCCUACGGGAGGCAGCAGUAGGGAAUCUUCCGCAAUGGACGAAAGUCUGACGGAGCAACGCCGCGUGAGUGAUGAAGGCUUUCGGGUCGUAAAACUCUGUUGUUAGGGAAGAACAAGUGCUAGUUGAAUAAUCUGGCCCUUGACGGCACCUAACCAAAAAGCCAGGGCAAAAUGCGGGGGGGGCCGCCGCGG
Molecule: ribosomal RNA, 487 nt
Filed under: Bacillus cereus
Lineage: Bacteria; Bacillati; Bacillota; Bacilli; Caryophanales; Bacillaceae
Description: bacterial SSU rRNA
Rfam family: Bacterial small subunit ribosomal RNA
Source: RNAcentral